UACAGAGGUCCCAAGCGUUGUUCGGAUUCACUGGGCGUAAGGGGUGCGUAGGUGACCGGGUAAGUUCGGUGUGAAAGCUCGGAGCUCAACUCCGAAAAGGCAUUGAAUACUAUCCGGCUUGAGGGUCGGAGGGGAGACUGGAAUUCUCGGUGUAGCAGUGAAAUGCGUAGAUAUCGAGAGGAGCACCAGUGGCGAAGGCGAGUCUCUGGACGACCCCUGACGCUGAGGAGCGAAAGCCAGGGGAGCAAACGGG
Molecule: ribosomal RNA, 253 nt
Filed under: uncultured bacterium
Lineage: Bacteria
Description: partial 16S ribosomal RNA
Rfam family: Bacterial small subunit ribosomal RNA
Source: RNAcentral